RNAcentral lists this unclassified non-coding RNA (233 nucleotides) under Lilium taliense. RNAcentral describes it as "ITS 2". Lineage: Eukaryota; Viridiplantae; Streptophyta; Magnoliopsida; Liliales; Liliaceae. The record is from RNAcentral.
CUUAUUUCGCUCUGUGACCAUGCUCUUUCAGGGGCGGUCAUGGAUGCGGAGAUUGGCCCUUCGUGCCUUAUGUGUGGCGGUCUUAAGCGUGGGCUGUCGGCAUCGGGAUGGGCAUGAUAAGUGGUGGACGGAGUACCAGUAGGAUAUUGUGGUCCCCCAUCGCCUUAAGGGGCUCAAGAGACCCAGACUAGGCGAGCCGUGCUCCGUACGAGGAGGGUGAGCCAUCUCACAAU